GUCAAAGGUCAAUGUGGCCUCACGAAACAGGGUUGUUGUUUUUUUUUCUAAAAUGAAUCAAUUUCACGGCAAUGACUCGUGGGAUCAAAUGAUGGAGGCUUUGCAGGAGAGACGUGGCUGUGGAUCACCUGCCAGGUGGUAACUCAUUCAUUGUUUUGUUUUUUAUCCCAUUUGUUUCAUGUGCUUAAUAUUUCCCUCCUGUUUCAUGUGCACUUCCAUUUCUUGUGUCAACCCGUUUGAGUUUUUACAUUCGCUUUUUUUCUUUUUGCCAGUAUCCUCACCAACUUUGUUCUUGGAUCUCCUUUUGAGACACUAAGCAUGCACAGACACGUUUGUUGCUCAAGACAGCUCGCUGCAUAACAAUGACAGCAUAAGUACUACACCAGCGUGUGUUACUCAUUAGACAUUUAAUCACUUUUAACAACCAUGUGCUCGCAAGCAUUGUCAGUAUUUCAUGUCAAAAAGCAAGGAGCUCCCAACAGAUCUCUGAUGUGAGACCACAUGACGUGUUGCGUGUGUACAACAUUUAAUGCACUGCCAUUACCAAUCCAUCAACAGGUCUGCAGCCAGCCUUUGACUCUCUCACACACACACACACACACACACUCUGUGAAGCACACUGAGCUGUUGGUGAUAAAUCAAACACAAAGACGCCAUCGCUUCACGGUGACUUUACUUUAUCUUCAUGGCUUUUUUACUCAUUUGUUUCCCCCUCUGUGUUUGCAUUGUAUUUGUCCUUUCAUCCAGAUGCUCCCACCACAACCCCUACACCCACCACAGCCACAACCACUACCACCACCACCACCAUCACCACCAUCUCCUACCCUGAAGCCAAUCAAGACACUGCGCCCAGCACUGAACCUGCAGCUCAUGAUUCACGAGCCGGAGAAGGGGCGCCCAGAGCCGUGGACCACGCGGUGAUUGGGGGAGUGGUGGCCGUGGUCGUCUUCGCCAUGCUCUGUCUACUCAUCGUCUUGGGGCGCUACUUCGCGAGACACAAAGGUACCUACUUCACGCACGAAGCCAAAGGAGCGGACGACGCCGCGGACGCCGACACGGCCAUCAUCAACGCGGAGGGGGGCCACACCAACUCGGACGAAAAGAAAGAGUACUACAUCUAAUUCAAACAGGACCCCCUCCCUCUGGGGUCCUCUUUGGGACAACGAGGUGUCCUAUGGGGCCCGGGGGCAGGAGGGGGGUAGG
This is an RNA transcript of Pungitius pungitius (ninespine stickleback), 1203 nucleotides long. RefSeq lists it as uncharacterized. The record is from RefSeq and is a predicted model, not a curated record. The transcript has 4 exons. Lineage: Eukaryota; Metazoa; Chordata; Actinopteri; Perciformes; Gasterosteidae.